UCCCACUCCAAACGAGCUUUUUUGGCUUCCCAAUUUGCAGGUAAUUUUAGUCUUUUAUCUUCUUCCACAACUUCCUGGUGAUUUAAUUUACGAGCUUCAUUCCGCAUCAGGUGCAGCUCCCGGAAUUUGCGCAGUCUCUGUUCGCGCUUCUGAGCGGCCAGCUCCGCCGCCGCAGCGAGGGACCCCUCCUCCGCGCUGUCCACCAGCACCUCGGAUGCAGCUAUAGCCGCCAUCACAACCUUUCUCUCUUCCCACUUCC
Molecule: long non-coding RNA, 259 nt
Filed under: Homo sapiens (human)
Lineage: Eukaryota; Metazoa; Chordata; Mammalia; Primates; Hominidae
Description: LNC_000058
Source: RNAcentral